ACGUAAAUUAGUAAAUAAUGUAAUUUUACAUUAUAAUGAGAAUUAAAGUAUUAGUAAUUUAUUUUUGUUACUAAAAUUAAAUUCAGUUUGUUCCUGCAUAAAUCUUUUUAGUACUAAACUGCUUUGGAAUGAAUUUUUUUGGGGGACAACAGCAGGAUUAGGGCCAUCUUCUAGAUGCCAUCAGGUAGGUGCGCUAGCGUAGUCCUUUGUUGUAGCAUUAUAUCCCUUUUCCUCCUUUUUGAAAAAUGUUUGUAAGACGCCUGAAAUUUGUAUAAGUUAGUUAUAUAAGUAGUUGAAUAAGAAUUGGUGAGACUGGGAAAAUAGAAGAGGACAGAGAAGAUGGAAGAGGAUUGCUUUGAAAUAGAAGGAAAGGAGAUGGAAAUGUUUGAGGAAAGGAGGAGGAUUUUGUUCGCUGUAACGGAAGUUUUUUGAAUGAAAUUUGGAGCAACUGUAUUAAGAUGUUAUUGAUAUCUUGAACAUCAAGUUUCAUUUAUUUAUGUAUUAUGCAAGCAUAUCUAUUGGUGGAAAUGUAGAAUGGCAGCUGUUAUAACAACUUGGAUGAAUUAUUAGAAGCACCAAAGAAGUUUUGACAUUUUAAUAACUGGGAAAAGGCUCACAAAUGACCAAUUUAUUCUACAUUAGAUACAGGACAUUAAAUUGACUUCAACAACGCACAUAUCUCUCAAAAAUGAUAUCUGUUCGAGUGAUGUACUGGGCGUUAACAGUUGCUGUUACAAAUUUGCAAAUGAGUUAGAACCGUACAUAAGUUUGAUGAAUGCCAGAGGAAUUUUUUGAAUGGAAUGAUACUGAAAAUCUUACACACAAAUGACAAUUUCAAGAUACAAUCAAUAGAACUCAGAUUGAUUGGCCUUCAUUACCAUUGCGCUAUGAAAAUGUCAGCAAUACAAAUUGGUAUUAAUGGACGUUUUGACAGCUGUUUCCAGUCCAAGUUCCAGUUAAUGGAAAAUCUUUAAUGGACACAGAAAAAUGCCAUUUACUGGAUUGACUUCAACACCUGUUGCCUUUUAAUAAUGUGAGCUGAACAAAUUGAUGGUAAUGGACAUUUUGACAGCUGCAGUCACAACUCAACGAACAAGUUGCAGCUUUGAAGAAAAAUUUUUGAUUGGAUACAGAAAAAUGUCAGUCGUUUCAGGAUGUAAAGUUAAUAGAACCAGGGUUAGGCUCGACAUCUGUUGCCAUUUAAUAAUGGUAUACGAAAGGACAAUUGCUAUUAGAAACAAAAAAGUUCUACUAGCUGCAACUAAUAAUUUAUGGUGGCCAUAAAAGAGAUUUAAAUGAAAUGAAACUUGUGCAGAAGAAAUCGAGGAAAACCAUUUUGAACUGCUGUUACUUAAUAGCUGUUAGAGGGGAUCCAGUUCUUCAUCAAUGGUAUACGCUGGGACAAUUGCUGUUAAAAAUCCACAGCCGUACUAUCUGCAAAUAUUAUGGUGGACAGCCAAAAGCUUUAAAUGGAAUGAAACUUGCAGGAAAAGACUCAGAAAGACCAUUAAGGACUGUACUUAAUAGUUGUUAGUGUGGUCGAAGUCCUUUGAGAAUGAUAUCUGCAUUUUCUUAACAAUGGAUAUCCAACAGUUGCUCCUACUCCUCACUUUCCUCUUUCACUCAACAUAAAGCAGACUCAAUACUCCCCAAUGCCUCACCAAGGUUCGUUAGCUUCAUUAAUAGUGUUAUUGUUUCAAUAAAUUUGUUUACUGGUUUUUAUCCUCUUACUAUAUAUAAUUAUAUCAGGCGUCAUUUUAAUGUUAAUUUUUUGUAAAAUUUUGAUAAUCUGGAUAGAACCCUUUUUUUCUUAAGCUUUUGCAAUAUAAAACACUAGUUAAGAGCAAUACACUUCACUUUAUGAAUAGGGCCAUUAUCUCUGUUGAUAUUGUCUUUAUAUUUAUGCUUUGUGUUGCCUCUAGUUUGAGGGAUGUUUGAUUAAUUUUAAAUCAUUCAAAUCAAUGCAAUAAUCUUUUAUCUUAUAUUUACUUCCAUUAGUUCAAUCAUUAAAUUGUUAUUAGAUAAAACUAUAUUGUAUUCUGGAUUUCGUCAAAGGUAUUUUUUAAAAGAAUUAAAAAACAAUCUUUAUAGGCUCAUUUCCAAUUUAUUUUUAUCUUGUAUUAUUUAUAUUUUUCGAAGCUUCUCUAAGUUUAUUCCAGAUUAUCAAAAUUAUAAUUUUUAUACUUGCGCAGCUGCGUCACUAUAGUCCUAUGAACACAAGUAUUAUUUUGGUUUUAAAGUUUAUGUUUUUUAAUAUUUCAUUUAUUGUAUUAACGCAAAACUAAAUUUUAUAGAAUUUAACUAACUAUAUCUUCAACCGGAUGAUAAUUUAAUAGCUAAUGGUCAAUUUAAUAUUUUUUCAUAAAAAUUAAAUGUGAUUAUUGAAUACCAAUAUCAAGCCGGUAGAAAUUAUUUAUCAGUGUUUAUUUUUUUGAAAUAAUUUUUUUAUUAAAUCAAUUUUGGAUACUUGUGUUCAUAUAUUUUUUUUUGCUUUUGAGAAUUAUUUUUGGCACCCUAACAGAUGUUUUUAAUUAAUUUAUAUGAUUUUAAAACAUUUAUGUUUAUAUCUAUUUUGUACUUAAAUUUUAGUGAUAAAGUUUGUUUCUUUAACACAGAGAGCAAUGCACUUCAUGCAUUGUUUUCUUUUUCAUGUGCAGAAUUCUCUUUAUAUACAGUAUGUCCUCAGAACGUCUUUACAAGAGCAAAAGCCUUUUUUUAUUAACAUUUUCAUAAAAAAUACAUUCCUUAUAAAAUAUUUUUCUUUUUAAUAUUUUCAUUUCAAUUUUUUUAACAAAUAUAUUGUGAGCACACAUUUUAAAAUUAUUUUUGGUAGAUAUACUGUGCGAUUCAAGUAUAUUUAUACUAAAAUUGUAUUUUUUUUAAUGCAAUGUUUUUUUAAUGUAUGUACUAAUUAAUAUACCACUAUAAUCCAUCAAAAUUGCUUAAAUUAAUUAUUUUAGAAGAGUUCAAUUGAAAAUAAAUACAUGAAUUUUAACCUUUAGUAUUACUGGUUGCCUAAUCGAUUCUUAUGUAAUGUUGUGGUAAUGUUUUUAUUACUUAAAAAAAAUAUAUUUCCAGAAGUAAUUUUUUCUCUCAAUUUUAGUAGGUAUUUAAAAUGUCUCUAUCCUGUCAUAUUUAUUUAACAUAUCUAUUAGACCUCUAUGACCCAUCUGUCUCUGAAAAAUACAAACUGCUGUUUGCUAUGUGUUAAUAAAACCGUUACACUUGCGUUUAAGAUAAUUAAUUACAUCUUAUCUUUUUAAUUGCUAUAUAAUUUUUUUAUAAAAUAUGAAACAAACUUUAUCUUCUAAAAUUUAUGAAUUUUACAUAUGAAAAUGGUCUGCUAGGGUAUAUAAUAUAUAUAUUGUAGGAUCAAUUGAAAUAUAAUAAGCGAUAAUAUAAAAAUUAACAUUUGUAUAUACAUAUUUGUUAAAUAUAUAAUUUUAAGAUAAAACACAUUGUUACACAAAAAUGAUAAUUCUAGUUUUAUAUGUGGCAUAUCUUUUUUCAGUUGGUCCUUCAACAUUUGAAAUCUUUUGACAUAUAUUUCAUUCCACUUAAAUGUCACAAAAAAUAUAUUUUAAUACCAAUUUUGUAUGUUAUUUCGUGUAUUAGAAUUUUAUAAAUACUGUUUUUAAUAUUUUGUUAAUAAUAGUGAUCUAUAGCUUACCUUUGCUAUCUGUAAUAGGAAAUAUUUCUAAAUAUUUUUUGUUGAAAAUAAAUAUUACUUUAUAACAUUUAUUAAGCAAAAUAAAUUUGAAGAUCCCUAUUAUUAUCAAAGAGAUAUCAUUAAAGUAUUUCAAUACAAUAUCUUUUUAUAUUAUUUUCAAACGUCACAAAACCGGACAAAACUAUUAAUUUUUGCGACAUGAUGACAACAAAGAUUGACAUAUAAAAAAGUAAUUAUUACGCUUAAACACAAAAGUGCAAAAAUUAUUAUUAAACUGUUAG
Molecule: long non-coding RNA, 3951 nt
Filed under: Sitophilus oryzae (rice weevil)
Lineage: Eukaryota; Metazoa; Arthropoda; Insecta; Coleoptera; Curculionidae
Description: uncharacterized LOC115888005, transcript variant X2
Source: RNAcentral